UGAGGAAUAUUGGACAAUGGGCGAGAGCCUGAUCCAGCCAUGCCGCGUGCAGGAAGACGGCCCUAUGGGUUGUAAACUGCUUUUAUACGGGAAGAAACACCCCCUCGUGAGGGGGCUUGACGGUACCGUAAGAAUAAGGAUCGGCUAACUCCGUGCCAGCAGCCGCGGUAAUACGGAGGAUCCAAGCGUUAUCCGGAAUCAUUGGGUUUAAAGGGUCCGUAGGUGGACGGUUAAGUCAGAGGUGAAAUCCUGCAGCUCAACUGUAGAAUUGCCUUUGAUACUGGUCGUCUUGAGUCGUUGUGAAGUGGUUGGAAUAUGUAGUGUAGCGGUGAAAUGCAUAGAUAUUACAUAGAACACCGAUUGCGAAGGCAGAUCACUAACAACGUACUGACACUGAUGGACGAAAGCGGUGGGGAGCGAACGAGGAUAGAUACCCUGGUACGUCCACGACCGUAAACGA
This 460-nucleotide ribosomal RNA is filed under the name uncultured Bacteroidota bacterium. RNAcentral describes it as "bacterial SSU rRNA". It matches the Rfam family "Bacterial small subunit ribosomal RNA", at positions 355 to 809 of the family's 1533-position model. Lineage: Bacteria; Pseudomonadati; Bacteroidota. The record is from RNAcentral.